Molecule: non-coding RNA, 72 nt
Organism: Phrynosoma platyrhinos (Desert horned lizard)
Lineage: Eukaryota; Metazoa; Chordata; Lepidosauria; Squamata; Phrynosomatidae
Source: the annotation of a GenBank genome assembly
GCCAGUGUAGCGCAGUGGUUGGAGAGUUGGACUACAACUCUGGAAAACAGGGUUCAAAUCCCUGCUUGAGCA